GGAGCACGGAUGUGAAAGCUGCUGCAAACAGCAAAGAACAGGUUUAAACAGAAGCAAGAGACUCUAAAAUGGAACUUGGCAUUCACCCCCCCUCCCCCCUUCCCGCUCUGGAAUUUGUGCCAAUUUGUAAUCCGUGCGAGUGAGUCUGUGCCUCACCAUGCCUAGCUGGAGCUGGUAAUUAGGUGCGGUGGUGGCUCCUGCCUUUGCCCUCUGAUGACUUUUCUUUAAUUGCUCUAAUCUGUGUUUUCACGCACUCGCUGGAAAAUGAGAAGAGCCGCCAGCUCCACGGAGGAGGGGAGGUUUCAUGUCCUCUGUGAUUGCAGCCCUCGGCUCCAGCAUUGGAAGCACAGCAGAAAAUCAGAUUUUUGGUCUGGAUCCAAAACAGAAAUAUGACACCCCAUAUACGGUCAGUGUGUAUGUGUUUCUCUAAAAGAAUCACUUAACCUAAUUUUCUGAGCAUCAACUCCAAAUGCCAUGUAGACCAAGUGGAAAAAAAAAAAAAUUCACCCAAGUACAAAGGGGAGCUCUUGCUCUUCACCUUAAACAGCCCAUGAAGCUUUUUAGCAAUUGACGGGUUCCUCUCCCUCUCGCUGCUCUGUUCUCUAAGCCCGCAGGAAGGAAGAUCUCCUGGAAAAAUGUCCUUGUGGUGUUAGGGCGAGGACGGUGGGGUCAUGGGGAUGUGAGCCUCGGCUGACAACUCAGGAGAAAGGGACACUUGUCGGUGGCCUCUGAGGACCGCUCCCAGGCACUGCUAAAGAUCACAGGGUCUGGGAUAGGGUAGGGGUCCAGGCAGCUGCAAACGCCUGCACAUCAU
This 814-nucleotide long non-coding RNA is filed under the name Sus scrofa (pig). RNAcentral's name for it is "lncRNA (ENSSSCG00030001305.1)". Lineage: Eukaryota; Metazoa; Chordata; Mammalia; Artiodactyla; Suidae. The record is from RNAcentral.